UGAAUAAGGGAUAUUUCCUAAGUGAAUGGUCAACGACAGGGAGUGGUUUGGUCUUAGGGAUUUAGUGAGGAAGGUACUCAUGCACUCGAGUUAUAGUAAAACAUGUCUUCAUUAGUCAGGCAUCUUUUGAUUGUGAUGGAGACCCAAGUCAACAUGCCUGCAUCUAAAGGAAUGUAUUGCUUCCGUUAAAAGAUUCUAAGAGUUGCUUCAGGCAAGGCUGCAUCUGGUUGUCAGAGAACACAUUUCUCAUCUCUGCUGUUGGUCUUCUGGAUUCUCCACAAUGCAGGCUCUCCCCACGUGGUGGCUCCAUACUGUAUCAUGCACCGUUACUCACUGCAGGAGGAGGAGUGAACCUCUUUCCCAAGCUGCCUUCGAAAGCCCUUGGGAAGGCUCUCAUUGGCCCAGUUUAAGUCAUGUGCCUAAAUCUGCUGCUAUUGCCUUGCCAGGAAACCCAGGGCUGAUUGGCUGCGUGUGGCCCCAAGGGUACAUCCCUGGAUGCCAAGGAGGGGGGGGGGAGUCAGUUCCAUCUGGACACCAUGGACAGAGUUCAGGAGACAGAGACCUACCUAGAAGAGACGCUGGCUAGCGGAUAAUGCCCAGUGCUACCUGUGUGCAAGGCAGGUUUGCUCUACAGGUCAGGGGAGAAAUGCAGAAGACAGCAACGACACGCAAAUGUGCUGACUGUUCGGGAGGAGGUUCCCGCGGGUAGCCCAGAAUGCAAUCAACUGGCUGCUUUUGCCAACUCCAGCACCUGUCAUAUUUCAUCCUCCUUUAAAUAACUUCAAGGAUAUGAAAGUCAUAAAACCAAGCCCAGGCAAUGCUGGUUAUUCCAUAUAAUAAGUGCAACAAAGUUCUCUUUUGAAACGUUUUUUGGAAAAAAAAAAAACGAAGUUAAAAGAAGAAUCCCACGUAAAUCACCACGGAGAUGGACCAAAGAAAAGUCAAGACUGGGACAUGGGGAGGCCAGUGGUCAAAGUGCAGAAGCAGUGCCUUGGACUUGGCCGUCAGAGCCAGGUGCAGGCAGCUUCUUGUUUGUGAGGCUGUGCUUAACCCCUUUCCCUGCGGCCUUCGCCUCCCCCCAUGCUGGGUUGCUCAUCACCACCCAGUGUCCUUUGGCUGAGUCCGGGUUUUCAUCCCUGUCCGGAGAGCGCUCAGCUCUUUCAGUCCUGAUGCAAACCAUGAGGUUUGGGGUCUUUCCUUUUGGUCACUCUCUUCUGGAUAAAAUCAUCGUGACACUGUUUAUCUGCAAUCCGGGACUUCAGCUGGAGUUCCUGUGGUCUUGUAAGUCGCUGUUAUCAAUGUAUCAUAAGACUGCGUGUGUGUGUGUGUGUGUGUGUGAGAGAGAGAGAGAGAGAGAGAGAGAGAGAGGAGAGAAAGGCAGAGAGAGACUCAUUCCUCGAUUAAAAAAAAAAGUGCUCUGCUGCAGGGGGCUCCAAUCGAAAAGGAAACAAAGUUGCUAAAGAUCGACAAGGCCGCUUUGUUCGAGUUUCGAGUUUGCCGCACUUCCGCAUCCCAGCAACUCAGCGUUUCCAACAAUCCAAGAUGGCCCCUGGGGGAGGUACCUAGCCUGACCGGAGACCUCUGUACUGGUGAACAGUAUGUAUCCUUGGCUGUGAUUGGCCCUUGAGGGCGUGCCCAGCUCGUGUCCUGCCUUACCUUUCUGCUGGUUGGCUCAGUUCCCUUGUGCCCUGGACAGCCCCCUUUCUGUGUCUAUAUAAGCUUUUCCCCCUCCCAAUAAAGUCGAGAACCCGGGCA
RNAcentral lists this long non-coding RNA (1755 nucleotides) under Oryctolagus cuniculus (rabbit). Its description in RNAcentral is "lncRNA (ENSOCUG00000030356.1)". Lineage: Eukaryota; Metazoa; Chordata; Mammalia; Lagomorpha; Leporidae. The record is from RNAcentral.